UUAUCCAUCUUAAUUCUGCGCCCUCAUUGAUUCGACGGGAGCAGAUGGAUCGCAACAGAUUCGUUUCGCAAAAAUCAACCCCAGAAUAUGUUUUGUGGCUCCCUGUAAAUGCAGAUUCAGAUUGAGCUCCAAUAUAGUGAUUCAUGAAACCCAAGACGCAAGCG
RNAcentral lists this non-coding RNA (164 nucleotides) under Thalassiosira gravida. Lineage: Eukaryota; Bacillariophyta; Thalassiosirophyceae; Thalassiosirales; Thalassiosiraceae. The record is from RNAcentral.